Gasterosteus aculeatus aculeatus (three-spined stickleback) is the source of this 1208-nucleotide non-coding RNA. Lineage: Eukaryota; Metazoa; Chordata; Actinopteri; Perciformes; Gasterosteidae. The record is from RefSeq and is a predicted model, not a curated record.
GAGUGGGUGGAAAGUUCAAUGGGGAUGUGGGAUCCCAGAAGGGCAGCGGGGAGGGGGGGGCCUCCUACCAGAGCAUGUGUCUGCAAACCGGGGGGCGGGGGGGGCUCCUCGCUGGCCGAUCUGUCAGCGCGGCAGCGGGUGUGCGCUGGGCGGAGGUGUGGAGUCCCCCUGAGACGGGCCGAACCGUCCGAAAAGGGAGAAGUCUCGUAUUUGACAGAAAGCCGCAAUGACGUUUCUUGUCCCCUUUGUGAUCCAGUGCAAACAUUCUCUCACUCGCUCGCGUUGUUGAUGCUGAAACGCUGGACUACCUGAGUUGUCGUGCUUCGCCCGUUCGGCGCCUGUUCACCGCUUGAAGACGGGAAGGGGGGGGACGCCGACAACACUUGACGAGAAGGACCUCUGCUGGAUGCGUCUCGACACUGCCAAACUCGCCCGUUUCCUCCGAAAGGGGAAGCUACACUGCAGACCGGCAUCGCAGGCUGAUUCCACCAGCGAAGCAUCAAAACUUCGAAGCCGAAGGCUCUGCAUCCACAACAAACAGAGUCGAGUGCAGGAAACACAGAACCUGUCGUCUGCAGUCAGUGAAGCUCCGGUCCAGACUCCUGCACGAGGCCUCCUGCAGUAGCUUUGCUUACAGUGCCCCCUUCUGUCAUAUGAUACAACCAUAUAUACACAUUGACUCAUAUGCAUAUGUAUGUACACAGCACCAGUCAGUCAGGUGGGACACAUCUUCUCAUUGUGUCUCUCGACUGGUACUCUACAUCAUUUUUCUCUCUUCAAGUAUCUCAAUCGGUAUUUUGCAGGUUUUCACCUGACCUGACUAAAGUUGUGAGUGGCGCUUCGUUGCCCCCCCGCUCAUCUACCACAGUGGAAAAAUGUGGUGCUGCACAGGAAGCCAUGAGAUGCACUCGUGUGUAGGAGGUGCUGCUACGGUAGAAAAAGGGGGUAGCUCAGGAGUUUGGGUGCUUACUACAGCAGCAUCCACUGCUAUUUUUAACCCGACCGGUUCGUAACAUCUUGAGCGCCUCCACACAGAACAUUUAUAUUGAUAUAUAUUUAAGUGUAUUAUUUGAUUGCAGCUAUCGAACAACAGCAUAUUUGACUGCAGCUAUCGUACAACAUGUUAUAAUAGUUAAUACAACUUCAUCAAUGCAUUUUCUCCACUGUGUGCCUUUGAGACUUGAUUAAAAACGGGUUUGUCGAUGUAA